Molecule: ribosomal RNA, 1365 nt
Filed under: uncultured bacterium
Lineage: Bacteria
Description: bacterial SSU rRNA
Rfam family: Bacterial small subunit ribosomal RNA
Source: RNAcentral
UUGAACGCUGGCGGGAUGCCUUACACAUGCAAGUCGAACGGCAGCGCGGACUUCGGUCUGGCGGCGAGUGGCGAACGGGUGAGUAAUGUAUCGGAACGUGCCCAGUAGCGGGGGAUAACUACGCGAAAGCGUAGCUAAUACCGCAUACGCCCUGAGGGGGAAAGCGGGGGAUCUUCGGACCUCGCACUAUUGGAGCGGCCGAUAUCGGAUUAGCUAGUUGGUGGGGUAACGGCUCACCAAGGCGACGAUCCGUAGCUGGUUUGAGAGGACGACCAGCCACACUGGGACUGAGACGCGGCCCAGACUCCUACGGGAGGCAGCAGUGGGGAAUUUUGGACAAUGGGGGCAACCAUGAUCCAGCCAUCCCGCGUGUGCGAUGAAGGCCUUCGGGUUGUAAAGCACUUUUGGCAGGAAAGAAACGGCGCCGGCUAAUACCUGGCGCACCUGACGGUACCUGCAGAAUAAGCACCGGCUAACUACGUGCCAGCAGCCGCGGUAAUACGUAGGGUGCAAGCGUUAAUCGGAAUUACUGGGCGUAAAGCGUGCGCAGGCGGUUCGGAAAGAAAGAUGUGAAAUCCCAGGGCUUAACCUUGGAACUGCAUUUUUAACUACCGGGCUAGAGUGUGUCAGAGGGGGGGUGGAAUUCCACGUGUAGCAGUGAAAUGCGUAGAUAUGUGGAGGAACACCGAUGGCGAAGGCAGCCCCCUGGGAUAACACUGACGCUCAUGCACGAAAGCGUGGGGAGCAAACAGGAUUAGAUACCCUGGUAGUCCACGCCCUAAACGAUGUCAACUAGCUGUUGGGCCCUUCGGGGCUUGGUAGCGCAGCUAACGCGUGAAGUUGACCGCCUGGGGAGUACGGUCGCAAGAUUAAAACUCAAAGGAAUUGACGGGGACCCGCACAAGCGGUGGAUGAUGUGGAUUAAUUCGAUGCAACGCGAAAAACCUUACCUACCCUUGACAUGUCUGGAAUCCCGAAGAGAUUUGGGAGUGCUCGCAAGAGAACCGGAACACAGGUGCUGCAUGGCUGUCGUCAGCUCGUGUCGUGAGAUGUUGGGUUAAGUCCCGCAACGAGCGCAACCCUUGUCAUUAGUUGCUACGAAAGGGCACUCUAAUGAGACUGCCGGUGACAAACCGGAGGAAGGUGGGGAUGACGUCAAGUCCUCAUGGCCCUUAUGGGUAGGGCUUCACACGUCAUACAAUGGUCGGGACAGAGGGUCGCCAACCCGCGAGGGGGAGCCAAUCCCAGAAACCCGAUCGUAGUCCGGAUCGCAGUCUGCAACUCGACUGCGUGAAGUCGGAAUCGCUAGUAAUCGCGGAUCAGCAUGUCGCGGUGAAUACGUUCCCGGGUCUUGUACACACCGCC